RNAcentral lists this ribosomal RNA (242 nucleotides) under uncultured bacterium. RNAcentral describes it as "partial 16S ribosomal RNA". It matches the Rfam family "Bacterial small subunit ribosomal RNA", at positions 15 to 252 of the family's 1533-position model. The record is from RNAcentral.
GAUCCUGGCUCAGGACGAACGCUGGCGGCGCGCCUAACACAUGCAAGUCGAACGAGAGAUGAGGAGCUUGCUCUUCAAAUCGAGUGGCGAACGGGUGAGUAACGCGUGAGGAACCUGCCUCAAAGAGGGGGACAACAGUUGGAAACGACUGCUAAUACCGCAUAAGCCCACGGCUCGGCAUCGAGCAGGGGGAAAAGGAGCAAUCCGCUUUGGGAUGGCCUCGCGUCCGAUUAGCUAGUUGG